GCCUACCUCCACCACCAGAGUUGCAAGACCUGUGUGUAAGACCGUACCGUGGACUCUCUGGCUCUUAGAUUUCCCCACCUUAUAGGUUCCCCGCUACCUGCGGUCAAAGUUGUAGAGUAAACUGCAAAGCUAACCUCAAAUGUUAGUGCAGCGAGAGUGCAAGUUUCACGUCGACUUAUACAGAAGAAACUACCAUGAACUUCUAACGAUAGCUUGUAGCCAUAUCUACAAUGCCCAGGUCUUGUGUUGUUUCCAAAUGCAAAACUGGUUAUAAAAGUUUGAAGGUUAAACGCUCGGUUUUCAAAGCACCAUCGAAUGUUGAAUUGUUUGACAAGUGGAAAGCGGUGUUACCGGAGGGAGUUCGUUUAACUGCGACGAAAUUUGUCUGUGAAAGACAUUUCAAAGAAGAAGAUAUCGUUAGAAGAUAUGUUAGAUUCGAUCAGAAUGGUCGAAAAAUUGCGGAUGUUCCCUUCAAGUGUCCUCGAUUGGCGGACCAGGCUGUUCCGUCGAUAUUUACUCCCGAUGACGAGACUGCUCAAUCCUUUUCUUCAGUCACCAAUUACAGCGAAUCGUCAGACUCGAUAGUCGAGAAAAAUGAUUCUCAGACAUUCAAAGCCAUGGAAGCGUCAAAUGUUACUCACGAGGAAGUAAAAUUCGCGGAAGAAAAACCAUUGCCACAAUUUUCACAAACAGAAAUUGAAAAUGUAAGAACAUCACCUGCAUCUAAAUCACAGACUGGAAAUUAUUUAACUGUGUUACUGAAAAAUGAAAUGAGCAUUUGUACGGCUGAAGACUCUGAACUAGUCGCUGUCAAUCAGGCUAAAAUAUCAGAAGAACCAAAAACAUCUGUACAUUUGUUUGAUGCACUUACUUCAAAAAUAAAUCAAGGUGAAGAUAUUUCGAAAGCCAAUGAAAAUGACUUCUCGAUUCCUACAAGUUGGACGGUUAUAAAUCAGCUUUCCCCAAACAAGCAAUGUGUUACAAUCACCCACACACGAUAUAUGAAAAAAAACGGUGUGCAUCACCCGAUCUUUGAUAAAUAUGUCACAAUUGAUAUCGAUAAUCGAAUACGAUACUUUAUUUCGGGACGCGUUGUAGAAGCGCAAGAGGCCGGACUGCAAGAAACUUUAUUAAAUAAAAUAGAACUGACCAACAUUUUGAACAAAUUUGGAAACAUCAAUUUGUGUGGAGGUUUAGGAAACGUUGACACGCAAUAUCUUGAACUGAACAACGAAUUCAGAGAUUAUUUCGGUGAUUUGCACAGUGAUAAUUGUUCUCUGAUAUCGAAGAUGAAGCGAUGUCGCAGUUGUAUAAAGCUGCGGAAAAUCGCUUUUCAGAGAAAAUCCAGGUACAAUAACGAUCAGCCGAUACGACGUAUGCGAAAGGCUAUGAAUCCGAUUGAUCAGAGAUUGUUGCUAGCAUCACAGAAGAAAUUGAAACGUCAAAAACGUAAAUUAAAACGAAUCAUGGCGGAAAGAGAAUCGUUGAAGAAUUCGCUAGCUGAAAAGACCCAAGAGUUGACCAAAAUCAACAACGAACCGUUUGAUGAAAAGUGUUCAAAACUCAACAUCCCAGCUGCUCAAAGAAUAACACUGAAUGAAAUAAUCGCAGCCGCUUCCACAACCAAAUCCAAUGGCCGACGUUAUUCGAACGAAUGGAUAAUGCAGUGUCUUUUGUUGAACAUAAAGUCGCCAUCUUUGUACGAGUAUUUAAGGGUGAAUAACAUUCUACCGUUACCCUGUUCAACAACUAUUCGUCGAUAUUUUUCACUCGCAAACAAGAAGUGCAACUUUGAUCAAAAUUUCACCGAGGUACUGAGGCGUAAAUUUGACAAACUAAAACAGAAAGGACUUAAACUGGACGGUCUGAUUUUGUUAAACGAUCUCGAAACGAAAAAUCCAAUGGAUAUUUCUGCAGAAAGUCUAGCCUAUGUCAGUGUAUCGGAUUUCAGAAACGACGUCCUAAAGUCUCAAAGUGUCAAUGAUCAACCCACGCACGGUCUUGUUCUGAUGUUACAAUCGUUGACGGACAGACAGACUCAUCUCGUUACAGUUUUCAAGGACGAAAAUCCUAUCCGAGGUGAACAAAUAUCAAAAUUAAUUAUCGAGGCGAUCGCAUGCCUAGAAAACUGUGGGGCCACAAUUCAUGGCGUUAUCGCUGAUGAUAAAACGAUGAAUAAGAAAAUCUGGUCUUCGUUGGGUGUCGAAGGCUCGAUUAAUGGCAUCAAAACAUGGUUUACACACCCUGUCGAUGAGAGCCGCAAAGUUUUCGCAUUUUCCAAUGCGUUGCACUUGAUAAGAUGCAUAAGAGAUCAAUUAUACGAUAAUAAACGACUGCGUAUAAAUUCUCGUAGUAAUUACAUUGAGUGGAAAUAUAUCCAGGCUUUAUUCAUUCUCGACAGUGAUGAAGCGAGGGCUAGAGUUUGUCCUGAAAUUACACAGAAUCAUGUAAAAUUGGAUAGCACAUUAAGAAUGUGCGAUUGUCUUGCAACGCAGGUGUUCAGUAAUUCUGUGGCAAACGGGCUCAAAUUUUAUUUGGAUCGAAACUGUGAUUCAUUAAUCGGGUGUGAAGAAACUAUUGCAUUCUGCAAACGCAUGAAUGACAUGUUUGAUGCCUUGAAGUGUAACGCCGCAAAUCAAGGACUCACUCCUGAUUCUGCCAAUCUCAAGGUAUUGGACGAUUGCUUGAAAUGGUUAAAUACUUGGGAAUUUGCGCAGUUCAACGGCGAAAUAACGGCGGACGAAUUUUUAAAUACAGAAACAGCGCACGGGUUGCGUGUAAGCUUAACGUCGACUAUCGAGUUAUGCAAAUAUCUGACAGGGAGACUCGAAUUCAAAUGUCAAUUUGCAGGUGAAGCAAGCUAAAAGACAAGGCAGAGGUGUUUUUUCAUACGAUUCAUUAAAAAUCUUCCCGUUUCAAACGAAAAUUAUUAAGAUUCUUUUCCUGCCUUUCCUUUAGAUACAUUUUUCAGCUUUCAUUCAGUUAUCGAGGAUGUUGCAUUAUAAAUUGACUGACAUGUCUUUUCAAUAAGCAUUAAAAAUAUCGGUUUUUUAAAAGUUGUAUCAAUAUAUACACAUAAUGGCCAUGAUUGUGAAAUUAACAAUAAAUUUACGUCAGCGCACGUUGGUCCCAAACCCCAAAAAGCCAGUCAAAUUUUGAAAGAAGUUUCUUUUCUAGGGACUUUUGACUGUUGGGGUAGUGUAGGAGUUCAUAUAGUAUGUAUUAUGACCGCGGAUGGGCAAGGUUUCUUAUCUGACUUAGGAAUUCAAUUCGUUCUUUAGCGUCAUGAGUGUCGCAUCAUUAGCUUGUGACACGCCAAAAAAUUCAUCGGUUUGAAACAUGCGUAGAAUGGUGAGAAGUUGACCGAUUUGGAUUCUGUAAAAUGGAUUCUUCCCCAGAAAAAUCUACGAAUUUUGACUGAACAACAGAAAUUUCUUAUGCAAGAAAGGAAAUUUUAAUAUUUUUGUAAACAGUAUUAACCAAAAAUAUUAACGUAACGAAUGACAAUAUUGAAACAGAGAUGUUAAAUAAAUUCAGGCAUCCAUACAUUGUGCCACAAAAUUUGAAAAAUGUCAGUGUUGAAUGGGUAUCGGAGUUCAGACAAAGGUGGAGCCAAGUUAACAGAAUGGAAAACAUAUUCUUCGAAAAAUUCACGACAUUCGUCAGAUAACGAUUAAGAAAUUUUCACACUACAUGGAAAUGAAUAUUCAUUAUUAUUGUAAUAGUGAUUAAUUACUUUAUUCCAAUCCUCUUCUUUCCCAACCUUUUCAUGUGAUCUAUUUAUAAUCGUCAUUUUUAAACGCAUUUCAUCAAAAUUGGACCAAAUCGAAUAACCUUUUCAUAAAAUAUUUAUACCAUUUUGUAUUUUGGUUUUUUUUUUAUUUGUAA
RNAcentral lists this unclassified non-coding RNA (3888 nucleotides) under Neodiprion lecontei (redheaded pine sawfly). Its description in RNAcentral is "uncharacterized LOC107223825, transcript variant X1". Lineage: Eukaryota; Metazoa; Arthropoda; Insecta; Hymenoptera; Diprionidae. The record is from RNAcentral.